This is a non-coding RNA of Phrynosoma platyrhinos (Desert horned lizard), 74 nucleotides long. The record is from the annotation of a GenBank genome assembly. Lineage: Eukaryota; Metazoa; Chordata; Lepidosauria; Squamata; Phrynosomatidae.
GACCCAGCAUGGUGUAGUGGUUUGAAUGUUGGACUAUGACUCUAGAGGCUAGGGUUCAAUUCCUAGCUCGGCCA